This 2220-nucleotide ribosomal RNA is filed under the name Bolbosoma balaenae. Its description in RNAcentral is "partial large subunit ribosomal RNA". It matches the Rfam family "Eukaryotic large subunit ribosomal RNA", at positions 368 to 2279 of the family's 3401-position model. Lineage: Eukaryota; Metazoa; Acanthocephala; Palaeacanthocephala; Polymorphida; Polymorphidae. The record is from RNAcentral.
AAAGCACUCUGAAAAGAGAGUUCACAAGUGCGUGAAACUGCACACUGCAAAGCGAAUGACUGGACAUCAUUAAGUGCGAUCUGCCAUGCUUCCGUGAUCGGGUACGUGAGAGGAAGAUGUGUUUACUCAUGUUCUGUCUUUCUCGCGAGGUAUUCCGGUCUAUGGAAGUUGUAUCGAUCGUGUUUUCGGCUGCUCGCUGGGUCGGCAAGAGUGACGGUCGCUGUCGAACAAGAGUUCCGUCAGGUUCUCUCUGUACUAGUGGCGCGCGCUGUGGCUAAUUGUGCACUUCGGUGUGCAUUGCUUGUGUAUCGGGCCGACCCAGUUGUGAAAAGGCCUGCCUCUGUUCGUCUGUCUCCGAAUUAUGGCAGCAUCUGCUGUUAAUUGGUUGGUGAGGCCGGUCAUGUGGAUGUACUGGCGCGAGGUCGGCAAUCGAAGAGGGCAGCCAAUGGCUUGUGCAGCAUUCGAACCGUCUUGAAACACGGACUAAGGAGUUCAACUUAAACGCAAGUCGUUUUUCGCUGAGAAUAUUAAAGGCAUAGUGAAAUCGACUCUGUAUGAGAGAUGUUAACUGAUGGGUACUUCUGUACUUUAAUGGUAAGCACGCGUGAUGAGUAGCACAAUUGUCAUUGUUGCUGACUGCACCUGAGCGUUCAGGUUGAGACCCGAAAGAUGGUGAACUAUGCCUGAGUAGGACGAAGCCAGGAGAAAUUCUGGUGGAAGUUCGUAGCGGUUUUGACGUGCAAAUCAAUCGCAAAACUUGGGUAUAGGGGCGAAAGACUAAUCGAACCAUCUAGUAGCUGGUUCCCUCCGAAGUUUCCCUCAGGAAAGCUGGCGUGACGUGAUAGUUUUACCUGGUAAAGCUAAUGACUGGAGGGAUCGGAGCUGUUAUAUCUUUGACCUACUCUCAAACUUAAAACGGAUAAGAACUCACUUGCUUCUUCAUUGAGCAGUGAGACCGAAUAUAAAGCGCCAAGUGGGCCAUUUUUGGUAAGCAGAACUGGCGCUGUGGGAUGAACUGAACGGUGAGCUAAGGUGCCAGACGCACUUCUCAAGAGAUGCCAUGAAAGGUGUUAGUUGAUAUUGACAGCAGGACGGUGGCCAUGGAAGUCGGCAUCUGCUAAGGAGUGUGUAACUACUCACCUGCCGAAUCAACUAGCCCUGAAAAUGGAUGGCGCUAUAGACGUGGACCUAUGCUCACCCGUUGAGAUUUCCUGUGUGCUCGCGCACAGGUUGAAAAAAGCUCUCAACGUGUAGGAGGGCAGAGACGUUAACUUUGAAGCGCACAAUGUGAAUUGGCGUGAAGUUGGCGCUAGUGCAGAUCUUAGUGGCAGUAGCGAGUAUUCAAAAUAAACAUUUGAAGACUGAAGUGGAGAAGGGUUCCAUGUGAACAUUAUUUGAACAUGGUUCAGCCGAUCCUAAGAGUGUGUAAAAUUCUGUGAAAUAGUGCGAGGCAUUUUUAUGUCUAUGCGAUCGAAAGGGAAUCGGGCUAAGCUUCCCGAGCCAGGGUGCAGAUUGUGACGUGUUUUUUCGGAGAUGUGUCAGAUGCGGUAACGCCCGCAAACCCAGAGAGUGCCAUGCGAUGUUCGGGGAAGAGUUCUCUCUUCUUUGUUAGGUAAGCUUGCCCUGGAAACGUUUUUCUCGGAGACAGGGGUCAACUACCGUAUUGCGACGCGAUUCUUGCGUGGCACCGUGCACAUUGUGUGGUCCGUGAAAUUCUGGGGGCGUGAAUGUUAGUCUUGUCCCUGAUCGUACCUAGUUCCGCAUCAGGUCUCCAAGGUAUACAGCCUCUAGUUUAUGGGACAAAGUAGGCAAGGGAAGUCGGCAAAUCAGAUCCGUACCUUUGGAAAAAGGAUUGGCUCUGAAGACUGAGUUGAUCGGGCUGUUGCGAAAGGGAGGCGGAUGCGUUAGGGGACUGGUCGACGGAUGACCUCGCAAGAGGUUGACCUGAGGUUGGACUCCGAUGUUUUCCGUCCUGCUGGCAGCUCCAGCUUGUCGGUGCAUGGUACGUAUGUACGGUGUACAGAGAUCGGUCAACGGCGAACAGUCGCAUCAGAACUGGUACGGACAAGGGGAAUCCGACUGUUUAAUUAAAACAGAGCAUUGCGAUAGCCGUCACCGGUGUUGACGCAAUGUGAUUUCUGCCCAGUGCUCAGAAUGUUAACGUGGCGAAAUCUAAAUAAGCGCGGGUAAACGGCGGGAGUAACUAUGACUCUCUCGAGG